GAACACGUGGCGAAAUUGGCAGACGCUGUAACCUUGCUAAGUUCAAUGAAAAUUGAAGUUAGCAAGUUGCUGACUCAAGAGGUCGUAAGGGUUCAAAUCCCUUCGUGCUCA
Molecule: transfer RNA, 111 nt
Filed under: Bacteroidota bacterium
Lineage: Bacteria; Pseudomonadati; Bacteroidota
Description: tRNA-OTHER
Rfam family: tRNA
About the family: Transfer RNA (tRNA) molecules are approximately 80 nucleotides in length. Their secondary structure includes four short double-helical elements and three loops (D, anti-codon, and T loops).
Source: RNAcentral